Molecule: ribosomal RNA, 465 nt
Filed under: uncultured bacterium
Lineage: Bacteria
Description: bacterial SSU rRNA
Rfam family: Bacterial small subunit ribosomal RNA
Source: RNAcentral
CCUACGGGCCGCAGCAGUGGGGAAUAUUGCACAAUGGGCGCAAGCCUGAUGCAGCCAUGCCGCGUGUAUGAAGAAGGCCUUAGGGUUGUAAAGUACUUUCAGUUGGGAGGAAGGCGUUGAUGCUAAUAUCAUCAGCGAUUGACGUUCCCAACAGAAGAAGCACCGGCUAACUCCGUGCCAGCAGCCGCGGUAAUACGGAGGGUGCAAGCGUUAAUCGGAAUUACUGGGCGUAAAGCGCACGCAGGCGGUUGAUUAAGUUAGAUGUGAAAUCCCCGGGCUUAACCUGGGAAUGGCAUCUAAGACUGGUCAGCUAGAGUCUUGUAGAGGGGGGUAGAAUUCCAUGUGUAGCGGUGAAAUGCGUAGAGAUGUGGAGGAGUACCGGUGGCGAAGGCAGCCCCCUGGACAAAGACUGACGCUCAGGUGCGAAAGCGUGGGGAGCAAACAGGAUUAGAUACCCGGGUAGUC